GUCCUUUUGUAUUUCAUAAGCAUGAUGAUGGGGUGUUCACACCAUUGUGUGACAUGUGUUUUCCUCAGACCUUGGCACAUUACUCAUCUGAUG
This 93-nucleotide small nucleolar RNA is filed under the name Mustela putorius furo (domestic ferret). Its description in RNAcentral is "Small nucleolar RNA U13 (ENSMPUG00000022844.1)". It matches the Rfam family "Small nucleolar RNA U13". The record is from Rfam by way of RNAcentral. RNAcentral also lists the same sequence under 1 other name. Lineage: Eukaryota; Metazoa; Chordata; Mammalia; Carnivora; Mustelidae.